CAGUGGCGAACGGGUGAGUAACACGUGGGCAAUCUGCCCUGCACUCUGGGACAACACCGGGAAACCGGUGCUAAUACCGGAUACGACGUACCUCGGCAUCGGGUGUGCGUGGAAAGCUCCGGCGGUGCAGGAUGAGCCCGCGGCCUAUCAGCUUGUUGGUGGGGUGAUGGCCUACCAAGGCGACGACGGGUAGCCGGCCUGAGAGGGCGACCGGCCACACUGGGACUGAGACACGGCCCAGACUCCUACGGGAGGCAGCAGUGGGGAAUAUUGCACAAUGGGCGAAAGCCUGAUGCAGCGACGCCGCGUGAGGGAUGAAGGCCUUCGGGUUGUAAACCUCUUUCAGCAGGGAAGAAGCGCAAGUGACGGUACCUGCAGAAGAAGCACCGGCUAACUACGUGCCAGCAGCCGCGGUAAUACGUAGGGUGCNGAGCGUUGUCCGGAAUUAUUGGGCGUAAAGAGCUCGUAGGCGGCCUGUCGCGUCGGAUGUGAAAGCCCGGGGCUUAACCCCGGGUCUGCAUUCGAUACGGGCAGGCUAGAGUUCGGUAGGGGAGAUCGGAAUUNCUG
Molecule: ribosomal RNA, 567 nt
Filed under: Streptomyces sp. 434D05
Lineage: Bacteria; Bacillati; Actinomycetota; Actinomycetes; Kitasatosporales; Streptomycetaceae
Description: bacterial SSU rRNA
Rfam family: Bacterial small subunit ribosomal RNA
Source: RNAcentral